RNAcentral lists this ribosomal RNA (498 nucleotides) under uncultured bacterium. RNAcentral describes it as "bacterial SSU rRNA". It matches the Rfam family "Bacterial small subunit ribosomal RNA", at positions 34 to 518 of the family's 1533-position model. The record is from RNAcentral.
CGCUGGCGGCGCGUCUUAAGCAUGCAAGUCGAGCGGUAAGAUAUAGCUUGCUAUAUCCUAGAGCGGCGGACUGGUGAGUAACACGUGGGUGACAUACCCCUCAGACCGGGAUAGCUCCUAGAAAUAGGAGAUAAUACCAGAUACGACCCAUGUUGUCAGAGGACAUAGAGGAAAGAUGCUACGGCAUCGCUGAAGGAGUGGCCCGCGGCCCAUUAGCUAGUUGGUAGGGUAACGGCUUACCAAGGCGACGAUGGGUAUCCGGCCUAAGAGGGUGGACGGACACAUUGGGACUGAGAUACGGCCCAGACUCCUACGGGAGGCAGCAGCUAAGAAUAUUCCGCAAUGGACGAAAGUCUGACGGAGCGACGCCGCGUGGACGAUGAAAGGCCGAAAGGUUGUAAAGUCCUUUUGAAUCUGACGAAUAAGCAGUGCAGGGAAUGGCAUUGUGGUGACGGUAGGAUUUGAAUAAGCAACGGCUAGUUACGUGCCAGCAGCGGC